GGGGAUGUAAAGGUUUCGACGGGGGCUGUAAGCCUUGGUAAGCGAGCAGCGGCGCGGACCCGCUAUAAAAGCCGCAACUUUAAAAUUAAACGACAACAAAACUGUUGCGUACGCAGCCUAAUUAGGCUGCCGUCUUACCUGGGAGGACCACGGCCCGGGAUAAGGCGUCGAUGAGUGGUGCACGUGAAUGCUGGAACGCCUUUACCAGCAUCAUGACCUAAAGGCUACUGAACUCCGGAGCCUGCCUGUGGGCGCCGGAGAGAGGGAAUGACAAAACACAGGCUACGCUCGUAGAAAGCCUUGGUAAGCGGUUUUCGGACGCGGGUUCGAUUCCCGCCAUCUCCACCA
This 348-nucleotide transfer-messenger RNA is filed under the name Acutalibacteraceae. RNAcentral describes it as "UMGS1264 sp900550095 Standard tmRNA". It matches the Rfam family "transfer-messenger RNA". From Rfam's summary of the family: Bacterial tmRNA, also known as 10Sa RNA or SsrA, is named for its dual tRNA and mRNA-like properties. Lineage: Bacteria; Bacillati; Bacillota; Clostridia; Eubacteriales. The record is from RNAcentral. RNAcentral also lists the same sequence under 1 other name.